AGAGUUUGAUCCUGGCUCAGGAUGAACGCUAGCUAUAGGCUUAACACAUGCAAGUCGAGGGGCAGCAUGGUCUUAGCUUGCUAAGGCCGAUGGCGACCGGCGCACGGGUGAGUAACGCGUAUCCAACCUGCCUUACACUCUUGGACAGCCUUCUGAAAGGGAGAUUAAUACAAGAUGUUAUCAUGAGUAAGCAUUUUCGCAUGAUUAAAGGUUUACCGGUGUAAGAUGGGGAUGCGUUCCAUUAGAUAGUAGGCGGGGUAACGGCCCACCUAGUCUUCGAUGGAUAGGGGUUCUGAGAGGAAGGUCCCCCACAUUGGAACUGAGACACGGUCCAAACUCCUACGGGAGGCAGCAGUGAGGAAUAUUGGUCAAUGGACGAGAGUCUGAACCAGCCAAGUAGCGUGAAGGAUGAAGGUUCUAUGGAUUGUAAACUUCUUUUAUACGGGAAUAAACGGAUCCACGUGUGGAUUUUUGCAUGUACCGUAUGAAUAAGGAUCGGCUAACUCCGUGCCAGCAGCCGCGGUAAUACGGAGGAUCCGAGCGUUAUCCGGAUUUAUUGGGUUUAAAGGGAGCGUAGAUGGGUUGUUAAGUCAGUUGUGAAAGUUUGCGGCUCAACCGUAAAAUUGCAAUUGAUACUGGCAGUCUUGAGUACAGUUGAGGUAGGCGGAAUUCGUGGUGUAGCGGUGAAAUGCUUAGAUAUCACGAAGAACUCCGAUUGCGAAGGCAGCUUACUAACCUGUAACUGACAUUGAUGCUCGAAAGUGUGGGUAUCAAACAGGAUUAGAUACCCUGGUAGUCCACACGGUAAACGAUGAAUACUCGCUGUAGGCGAUAUACAGUCUGCGGCCAAGCGAAAGCAUUAAGUAUUCCACCUGGGGAGUACGCCGGCAACGGUGAAACUCAAAGGAAUUGACGGGGGCCCGCACAAGCGGAGGAACAUGUGGUUUAAUUCGAUGAUACGCGAGGAACCUUACCCGGGCUUAAAUUGCAACCGAAUAUGGCGGAAACGCUAUAGCUAGCAAUAGCGGUUGUGAAGGUGCUGCAUGGUUGUCGUCAGCUCGUGCCGUGAGGUGUCGGCUUAAGUGCCAUAACGAGCGCAACCCUUGCCGAUAGUUACUAACAGGUUAUGCUGAGGACUCUGACAAGACUGCCAUCGUAAGAUGUGAGGAAGGUGGGGAUGACGUCAAAUCAGCACGGCCCUUACGUCCGGGGCUACACACGUGUUACAAUGGGGGGUACAGAGGGCCGCUACCACGCGAGUGGAUGCCAAUCCCCAAAACCUCUCUCAGUUCGGACUGGAGUCUGCAACCCGACUCCACGAAGCUGGAUUCGCUAGUAAUCGCGCAUCAGCCACGGCGCGGUGAAUACGUUCCCGGGCCUUGUACACACCGCCCGUCAAG
RNAcentral lists this ribosomal RNA (1400 nucleotides) under uncultured bacterium. Its description in RNAcentral is "bacterial SSU rRNA". It matches the Rfam family "Bacterial small subunit ribosomal RNA". The record is from RNAcentral.